GACGAACGCUGGCGGCGUGCUUAACACAUGCAAGUCGAGCGGGAACCUCGGGAGGGGUAACCCUUCCGAGGGGAGAGCGGCGAACGGGUGAGUAUCACGUGGGCAACCUGCCCCGGACACCGGGAUAACCCAGGGAAACCUGAGCUAAUACCGGAUACUCCGGCACGAUCACAUGGUCGUGCCGGGAAAGCUCCGACGGUCCGGGAUGGGCCCGCGGCCUAUCAGCUUGUUGGUGGGGUAACGCCCACCAAGGCGACGACGGGUAGCUGGUCUGAGAGGACGGCCAGCCACACUGGGACUGAGACACGGCCCAGACUCCUACGGGAGGCAGCAGUGGGGAAUCUUGUCCAAUGGCGAAAGCCUGAGACAGCGACGCCGCGUGGGGAUGAAGGCCUCGGUCGUAACCC
This 407-nucleotide ribosomal RNA is filed under the name uncultured bacterium. RNAcentral describes it as "bacterial SSU rRNA". It matches the Rfam family "Bacterial small subunit ribosomal RNA", at positions 28 to 431 of the family's 1533-position model. The record is from RNAcentral.